Molecule: transfer RNA, 67 nt
Filed under: Marmota monax (woodchuck)
Lineage: Eukaryota; Metazoa; Chordata; Mammalia; Rodentia; Sciuridae
Description: tRNA.Ala
Source: RNAcentral
GGUUGUGGCUUAGUGGUAGAAUGCUUGUCUAGCACAUGUGAGGCACUGGGUUCAAUCCCCAGCACCA